This 1519-nucleotide ribosomal RNA is filed under the name Pseudocalotes microlepis (Burmese false bloodsucker). Its description in RNAcentral is "16S ribosomal RNA". It matches the Rfam family "Bacterial large subunit ribosomal RNA", at positions 440 to 2925 of the family's 2925-position model. The record is from RNAcentral. Lineage: Eukaryota; Metazoa; Chordata; Lepidosauria; Squamata; Agamidae.
AGCCACCACCAAGCCCAAACAAAAACACAAACAACCAAAAAAACAACCAAAACAUUUGCCACAAGAAAGUAGCUGCGACCGAACCCAACCACAGACGCAAUAGAGACAGUACUGUGAAGAAAAGGUGAAAGAAACACCACAAGCAAAAAAAAGCAGGAAUAAAACCCCGUACCUCUUGCAUUACCGUUUAGCAAGAACCCCCAGACAAGAUGACACCCAAGUCUGACCCCCCGAAUGCAAGUGAGCUAUUUUUAGGCAGUUAAUAGAACGAACCCCCUUCUGUAGCAAAAGAACGGGAAGACCUGAAAAUAGAGGCGAAAAACCAAUCGAACUUGCCGAUAGCUGGUUGCCUGAUACAUGAACUUUAGUUCAAUCUUGGGGGACCAUGUAGAACACUAACACACCCUUCUCCCAAGAACUAGUCAAUGAAGGUACAGCUCCAUUGACAAAGGAUACAGCCUUAACCAGAGAGUAAGCACACCAACACAAACUGUAGGCUUCAAAACAGCCACCAAAGAAUAUCUCGUCAUAGUAAUAAAAUAAAAAUACAAUACACACCGCACCUCCUGACCACAACCCAGGCUAUUCUACAUUAGUAGAAGAAACGAUGCUAAAACUAGUAAUAAGAAACAUUCUCCAAAGACAAAAUUUUAAUCUUAUCAGACCAUAAAAGGAAACAUGAAACUUUAUUUUUCCGCAUAAAACAAACUGUAAGACCAACUCAGGAUUGCCUACGGAUGACCCAAAGCCUAAAAAGGAACUCGGCAAACACCCCCUCCAACUGUUUACCAAAAACAUAGCCUUUAGCCAACCAAGACAUAUUAAAGGUGUUGCCUGCCCAGUGAGGGUAGACCCCUUAAAUGGCCGCGCUUAUAACCGUGCAAAGGUAGCAAAAUCAUUUGUCCCCCAAAUAGGGACCCGCAUGAACGGCUACAUGAGAGAGGGACUGUCUCUUUAGGCCGGCCAAUGAACCUGAACUGUCCGUGCAAACGCGGACAUACAAAAACAAGACAAAAAGACCCUGUGAAACUUUAAGUGUCCAUCAACUAAUGAUCGAGACAUUUUUGGUUGGGGCAACCAAAGAGAAACACAAAUCUCAUAAACCCGUCACGCGGCCAACAAGCCAACCGACACAAACCAAAUCGACCCAGUACUACUGAUCAAAGAACCAAGCUACUCCAGGGAUAACAGCGCCACAUUCUUAAAGAGUCCAUAUCAGCAAGAAUACUUACGACCUCGAUGUUGGAUUAGGGUAUCCCAAUGGCGCAAAAGCUAUUAAGGGCUCGUUUGUUCAACGAUUAAAACCCCACGUGAUCUGAGUUCAGACCGGAGCAAUCCAGGUCGGUCUAUAUCUGUUUAAGCGCUUCACCCAGUACGAGAGGACCGAUGAAGCAGGGGCCAUUUUAAUAUUACCCCCUAACUGCUAAAAACUGCGAACGAAUAAAAUCCAUCGCAGACCCCCCGCCCCGCCCCAAAAAAAGGGGUUGCCCACACGCCUAGCGUGUGGGCAAAAAUUGCG